Non-coding RNA from Helianthus annuus (common sunflower), 219 nucleotides. The record is from Rfam. Lineage: Eukaryota; Viridiplantae; Streptophyta; Magnoliopsida; Asterales; Asteraceae.
AUACCUUUCUCGGCCUUUUGGCUAAGAUCAAGUGUAGUAUCUGUUCUUAUCAGUUUAAUAUCUGAUACGUGGGCCAUCGGCCCACUUGAUAUUAAUCUUAUUUUUUAUGGGGAAAAGCCCAUCACUUGAUAUUAAUCUUAUUUUUUAUGGGGAAAAGCUAUUGUGGGCUUUAAGUGUCGCCUUGGUCUUGCACUACUGCCUUGGCCUGGCUCACCCCUC